Molecule: ribosomal RNA, 393 nt
Filed under: uncultured bacterium
Lineage: Bacteria
Description: bacterial SSU rRNA
Rfam family: Bacterial small subunit ribosomal RNA
Source: RNAcentral
GAAUUCACUAGUGAUUCAGGCCUAACACAUGCAAGUCGAGCGGUAGAGAGAAGCUUGCUUCUCUUGAGAGCGGCGGACGGGUGAGUAAUGCCUAGGAAUCUGCCUGGUAGUGGGGGAUAACGUUCGGAAACGGACGCUAAUACCGCAUACGUCCUACGGGAGAAAGCAGGGGACCUUCGGGCCUUGCGCUAUCAGAUGAGCCUAGGUCGGAUUAGCUAGUUGGUGAGGUAAUGGCUCACCAAGGCUACGAUCCGUAACUGGUCUGAGAGGAUGAUCAGUCACACUGGAACUGAGACACGGUCCAGACUCCUACGGGAGGCAGCAGUGGGGAAUAUUGGACAAUGGGCGAAAGCCUGAUCCAGAAAGGCCGCGUGUGUGAAGAAGGUCUUCGGA